UUGACCUCAGAUCAGGUAGGGAUACCCGCUGAACUUAAGCAUAUCAAUAAGCGGAGGAAAAGAAACCAACAGGGAUUGCCUUAGUAACGGCGAGUGAAGCGGCAAAAGCUCAGAUUUGAAAUCUGGUGCCAUAGAGGCAUCUGAGUUGUAAUCUGUAGAGGAGUAUUCGAGUAUGGCUUUGGCUUAAGUUCCUUGGAACAGGGCGUCAAAGAGGGUGAGAACCCCGUUUGCAGCCUUUGUCUUAUGCUUAUGUGAAUCUCCUUCAACGAGUCGAGUUGUUUGGGAAUGCAGCUCUAAAUUGGUGGUAAAUUCCAUCUAAAGCUAAAUACUGGCAAGAGACCGAUAGCGCACAAGUAGAGUGAUCGAAAGAUGAAAAGAUCUCUGAACAGAGAGUUAAAUAGUACGUGAAAUUGUUGAAAGGGAAGCACUUGCUACCAGACACACUUGCAAUUAAUCAGCCUCCAUUUUUGGUGGUGCACUUGGUUGUAGGUGGGUCAGCAUCAGUUAUAGCGGUAGGAAAAAGGCUGUGGGAAUGUGGCUUCUUUCGGGAAGUGUUAUAGCCCAAAGUGUAAUGCUGCCUGCUGUGACUGAGGACCGCGCUUCGGUGAGGAUGCUGGCAUAAUGGUUGUAAGUGACCCGUCUUGAAACACGGACCAAGGAGUCUAACAUCUAUGCGAGUGUUUGGGUGUUAAAACCCUUGC
Molecule: ribosomal RNA, 701 nt
Filed under: uncultured Peziza
Lineage: Eukaryota; Fungi; Ascomycota; Pezizomycetes; Pezizales; Pezizaceae
Description: eukaryotic LSU rRNA
Rfam family: Eukaryotic large subunit ribosomal RNA
Source: RNAcentral